CAGUAGCCGCGGGAAUAUGUAGGUGGCAAGCGUUGUCCGGAAUUAUUGGGCGUAAAGGGCUCGCAGGCGGUUUCUUAAGUCUGAUGUGAAAGCCCCCGGCUCAACCGGGGAGGGUCAUUGGAAACUGGGAAACUUGAGUGCAGAAGAGGAGAGUGGAAUCCCACGUGCAGCGGUGAAAUGCGUAGAGAUGUGGAGGAACACCAGUGGCGAAGGCGACUCUCUGGUCUGUAACUGACGCUGAGGAGCGAAAGCGUGGGGAGCGAACAGGAUUAGAUACCCCAGUAGUCCCUGUCUCUUAUAC
RNAcentral lists this ribosomal RNA (301 nucleotides) under uncultured bacterium. RNAcentral describes it as "partial 16S ribosomal RNA". It matches the Rfam family "Bacterial small subunit ribosomal RNA", at positions 509 to 807 of the family's 1533-position model. The record is from RNAcentral.